This is a non-coding RNA of Triticum aestivum (bread wheat), 136 nucleotides long. The record is from Rfam. NCBI's taxonomy places the organism in Eukaryota, Viridiplantae, Streptophyta, Magnoliopsida, Poales, Poaceae.
AAAAUACUACCUCCGUCCCAAAAUUCUUGUCUUAGAUUCGUCUAGAUAUGGAUGUAUCUAAUACGAAAACGUGACUUGAUAUAUUCGUACUUAGACAAAUCUAAGGCAAGAAUUUUUUGGAGGGAGGGAGUAUAUG